Molecule: ribosomal RNA, 470 nt
Filed under: uncultured bacterium
Lineage: Bacteria
Description: bacterial SSU rRNA
Rfam family: Bacterial small subunit ribosomal RNA
Source: RNAcentral
ACGCGCAGAACCUUACCACCACUUGACAUUACCAUCGCGAUUUCCGGAGACGGAUUUCUUCAGUUCGGCUGGAUGGAUAACAGGUGCUGCAUGGCUGUCGUCAGCUCGUGUCGUGAGAUGUUGGGUUAAGUCCCGCAACGAGCGCAACCCUCGCCUUUAGUUGCCAGCAGUUCGGCUGGGCACUCUAGAGGAACCGCCGGUGAUAAGCCGGAGGAAGGUGGGGAUGACGUCAAGUCCUCAUGGCCCUUACGUGGUGGGCUACACACGUGCUACAAUGGCAGUGACAAUGGGUUAAUCCCAAAAAGCUGUCUCAGUUCGGAUUGUCGGCUGCAACUCGCCGGCAUGAAGUUGGAAUUGCUAGUAAUCGCGUAACAGCAUGACGCGGUGAAUACGUUCCCGGGCCUUGUACACACCGCCCGUCACACCAUGGGAGUUGGUUCUACCCGAAGAUCGUGCGCUAACCCUCGGNA